Molecule: ribosomal RNA, 119 nt
Filed under: Pteropus alecto (black flying fox)
Lineage: Eukaryota; Metazoa; Chordata; Mammalia; Chiroptera; Pteropodidae
Source: RNAcentral
GUCUAAGGCCAUGCUACCCUGAACAAGCCCAAUCCUGUCUGAUCUUGGAAGCUAAGCAGGGUCAGGCCUGGUUAGUACUUGGAUGAGACACCACCUAGGAAGACCAGGUGCUAUAGGUG